RNAcentral lists this long non-coding RNA (215 nucleotides) under Nicotiana benthamiana. RNAcentral describes it as "long non-coding RNA (NBEN_LNC027317)". The record is from RNAcentral. Lineage: Eukaryota; Viridiplantae; Streptophyta; Magnoliopsida; Solanales; Solanaceae.
CAACAGUCAAGUUGCGCGCUUGACUCAGCCUACCCUAAACACUUAGCCAAUUUUCAGUAAGUUUGGCUUAAACGAAAUUAUAGGCAACAAAUCAAUAAGAACACCAGCCAAUACGGAAAAAUUCCCAACCCUUGUAUUAAUUUCAAAAAUAUAAAAGGACCCUCACUUUUCUAUGAACACGGUCCGCUCACAGUUCACUUUUAACGAAGAACACA